This is a non-coding RNA of Oleiphilus sp. HI0009, 136 nucleotides long. The record is from Rfam. Lineage: Bacteria; Pseudomonadati; Pseudomonadota; Gammaproteobacteria; Oceanospirillales; Oleiphilaceae.
AACUAACUUUGUUCGUCCAGGAUGAGAACCGUUAAGGUCCGAGCCGAGCAGCUUUGCUGCGAGACAACGUUGGCGCGCGCUCGUCACGACAACGACCCGAAGGGCGAGCGAAGCGAGUAAUCCGCACGACAUACCA